UACGAAGGGUGCAAACGUUGCUCGGAAUCAUUGGGCGUAAAGCGCACGUAGGCGGCCUGUUAAGUCGGAUGUGAAAUCCCUCGGCUCAACCGAGGACGUGCAUUCGAAACUGGCAAGCUCGAGUAUGGAAGAGGGUCGCGGAAUUCCCGGUGUAGAGGUGAAAUUCGUAGAUAUCGGGAGGAACACCAGUGGCGAAGGCGGUUAGCUGGCCUGUAACUGACACUGAGGCGCGAAGGCUAGGGGAGCGAACAGG
This 253-nucleotide ribosomal RNA is filed under the name uncultured bacterium. RNAcentral's name for it is "partial 16S ribosomal RNA". It matches the Rfam family "Bacterial small subunit ribosomal RNA", at positions 524 to 776 of the family's 1533-position model. The record is from RNAcentral.